UUUCCGUAGGUGAACCUGCGGAAGGAUCAUUAUUGUAUAACCGAGGUGCGAGGGCUGUCGCUGACCCGAAAGGUCGUGCACGCCCGAGUGCCCUCACACACAUCCAUCUCACCCCUAUGUGCACCACCGCGUGGGCACUCUUCGGGAUCAUCUCGGAGGGGGGCUCGCGUUUUCACACAAACCCCCCUUUUAAAAGUGUAGAAUGACCACAUUUAUGCAAUCAAUACAACUUUCAACAACGGAUCUCUUGGCUCUC
RNAcentral lists this unclassified non-coding RNA (256 nucleotides) under plant metagenome. RNAcentral describes it as "partial contains small subunit ribosomal RNA, internal transcribed spacer 1, and 5.8S ribosomal RNA". The record is from RNAcentral.